RNAcentral lists this ribosomal RNA (474 nucleotides) under uncultured bacterium. RNAcentral's name for it is "bacterial SSU rRNA". It matches the Rfam family "Bacterial small subunit ribosomal RNA", at positions 8 to 474 of the family's 1533-position model. The record is from RNAcentral.
AGAGUUUGAUCAUGGCUCAGAUUGAACGCUGGCGGCAUGCUUAAUACAUGCAAGUCGAACGGUAACAGAUUCUUCGGAAUGCUGACGAGUGGCGGACGGGUGAGUAAUACAUAGGAAUCUGCCCAUGUAGUGGGGGACAACUUGGGGAAACUCAAGCUAAUACCGCACAAUUCUUACGGGAUAAAGAGGGCCACUGCUUGCAAGCUCUUGCUACUGGAUGAGCCUAUGUCGGAUUAGUUAGUUGGUAAGGUAAUGGCUUACCAAGACAGCGAUCCGUAGCUGGUUUGAGAGGAUGAUCAGCCACACUGGGACUGAGACACGGCCCAGACUCCUACGGGAGGCAGCAGUAGGGAGUAUUGGACAAUGGGCGCAAGCCUGAUCCAGCAAUGCCGCGUGUGUGAAGAAGGCCUGCGGGUUGUAAAGCACUUUCAAUUGGGAAGAAAGAUUAUGAGUUAAUACCUUAUAAUAUUGACG